Molecule: ribosomal RNA, 253 nt
Filed under: uncultured bacterium
Lineage: Bacteria
Description: partial 16S ribosomal RNA
Rfam family: Bacterial small subunit ribosomal RNA
Source: RNAcentral
UACGGAGGGGGCUAGCGUUGUUCGGAAUUACUGGGCGUAAAGGGCGCGUAGGCGGAUAUUUAAGUCGGGGGUGAAAGCCCAGGGCUCAACCCUGGAACAGCCUUCGAUACUGGAUAUCUUGAGUACGGGAGAGGUGAGUGGAACUCCGAGUGUAGAGGUGAAAUUCGUAGAUAUUCGGAAGAACACCAGUGGCGAAGGCGACUCACUGGCCCGUUACUGACGCUGAGGCGCGAAAGCGUGGGGAGCAAACAGG